This is a long non-coding RNA of Brassica oleracea var. oleracea, 382 nucleotides long. RefSeq lists it as uncharacterized. Lineage: Eukaryota; Viridiplantae; Streptophyta; Magnoliopsida; Brassicales; Brassicaceae. The transcript is spliced from 3 exons. The record is from RefSeq and is a predicted model, not a curated record.
AUUUCGACGCGACGACGGCGAUUUUCGACGCGACGACACCAAUCAGUCGUUUAAUCGAAGACUUCUCCGCCAAAUCGAAUAUAGACGAGGGGAAAGACGAGUUUCGGUGUGGAAAUCAUUCUCGGUGUCUCCCUAUUCUCUCUCUCUCGACGGCGAUCCAAUCGAAACCAGUUUAUGUGUUGCAUGUAGCAUACUCCAUAAUAUGAUUGUCGAAGAUGAACGAAAUUCAUACACUCAGCAUAACGCUUCAGAAUUUCAACAAGGAGAAGAUGGGGAUCCUACAUUUGUAGUCAGAAGAACUACAAAUCUCGGUAAUACAAUGGGUCGUCGAGCAGAAGUUCGGGAUAGACAAGACCAUCAACAAUUAAAAAAAGAUUUGAUU